CGAGGAUUAACGACGUGGAAACGGUCGCUAAAACUGGAUAGGAUUAUUUGAGGCAUACUCGAAGUGAUUUAAAGGGGCUUUCAAGCCACACUUAGAGAAAGGCCUGCGGCGCAAUUAGCUAGGUUGGGUAGGGGUACGAGGCCUACCAAGGCGAUGAUGCGUAGCCGGACUGAGAGGUCGAACGGCCACAUUGGGGCUGAGACACGGCCCAAACUCCUACGGGAGGCAGCAGUAGGGAAUUUUCGGCAAUGGGGGAAACCCUGACCGAGCAACGCCGCGUGAAUGAAAAGACGUAUUUCGGUAUGUAAAGUUCUUUUAUUAAGGAAGAAUUAUCACGGAUAGGAAAUGAUCUGUGAGUGACGGUACUUAAUGAAUAAGCCCCGGCUAACUAUGUGCCAGCCGCCGC
RNAcentral lists this ribosomal RNA (406 nucleotides) under uncultured bacterium. Its description in RNAcentral is "bacterial SSU rRNA". It matches the Rfam family "Bacterial small subunit ribosomal RNA", at positions 138 to 518 of the family's 1533-position model. The record is from RNAcentral.